Nicotiana attenuata is the source of this 574-nucleotide long non-coding RNA. RefSeq lists it as uncharacterized. The transcript has 3 exons. NCBI's taxonomy places the organism in Eukaryota, Viridiplantae, Streptophyta, Magnoliopsida, Solanales, Solanaceae. The record is from RefSeq and is a predicted model, not a curated record.
UUGAUUUCAUUGGUUUCCUUUUUGUUAUUUUCCUUUCUCCACUUUCUCUCUCCCUCUCUCUCUCUUUCUGGAUCCGUGUGCUUUCUCUUUUAUGCGUUCUCUGUCUCUCUUCCGAUUCUAAAUGCAGAAGUGGGGCUAAGAAUGGUGAAGUAACAUGUAAAAAGAUGACAGCUUGGGCAUCACUAUCACUUUAAUUGGAUACUACAAAAUACUGGACAAGAUGCACCUUGCUAGAGCGUGCGCGGAUGGAAACUCAGUGGUAAGGUGGAAGGAGCCUGUAGCGAGGAUGUUUCUACCUAGAUUAUACAUUUUUGGAGUUUGUAUCGUAUGAGUAGCGUAGCACCAGUCAUCAUCUUCAGAUUUCAACUCUGGAAGACCGCCUGUAAUGUGGAGACUAAUAUGGUAUUGGUGCUGUGGAAGGCAAGGAGUGCACCAAUGCUGGGAAAAGGACGGUUAGUAGCUUAUCUCACCAUGAAGGUCAUGAGGUAUUAUUUUUUCUAACGACCCGAUCGGUCGCUUUGAGCUCUAGCGCAUCGUUCAGCGGUUUGAGGCCUUAAGUAGCUUCACUUCAGGU